RNAcentral lists this ribosomal RNA (251 nucleotides) under uncultured prokaryote. Its description in RNAcentral is "partial 16S ribosomal RNA". It matches the Rfam family "Bacterial small subunit ribosomal RNA", at positions 524 to 774 of the family's 1533-position model. The record is from RNAcentral.
UACGGAGGAUCCGAGCGUUAUCCGGAUUUAUUGGGUUUAAAGGGUGCGUAGGCGGCUCUAUAAGUCAGUGGUGAAAUCAUCAGGCUCAACCUGAUACCUGCCAUUGAUACUGUAAAUCUUGAGUAUUAUCGACGCGGGAGGAAUGCGACAAGUAGCGGUGAAAUGCUUAGAUAUGUCGCAGAACACCAAUAGCGAAGGCAUCUCGCGAGGUAAUCACUGACGCUAAGGCACGAAAGCGUGGGUAGCAAACA